AUACUUACCUGGCAGGGGAGAUACCAUGAUCAUAAAGGUGGUUUUCCCAGGGCAAGGCUUAUCCGUUGCUCUCCGGAUGUACUAACCCCUUCAAUUUCCCCAACUGUGGGAAACUCGACUGCAUAAUUUGUGGUAGUGGGGGACUAUGUUCACGCUCUCCCCUG
Small nuclear RNA from Pteronotus mesoamericanus, 164 nucleotides. RefSeq annotates it as U1 spliceosomal RNA. NCBI's taxonomy places the organism in Eukaryota, Metazoa, Chordata, Mammalia, Chiroptera, Mormoopidae. The record is from RefSeq and is a predicted model, not a curated record. The transcript has a single exon.